This 273-nucleotide small RNA is filed under the name Klebsiella indica. RNAcentral describes it as "5' ureB small RNA". It matches the Rfam family "5' ureB small RNA". Lineage: Bacteria; Pseudomonadati; Pseudomonadota; Gammaproteobacteria; Enterobacterales; Enterobacteriaceae. The record is from RNAcentral.
CUGCUGCGGGCAGAUCCAAUGGAUAUGGGUAUCGAUGCCGCCAGCGGUGACGAUCUUGCCUUCCGCGGCGAUCACUUCCGUCGCCGUGCCGAUCGGGAUCGUCACGUUGGGCUGAAUGUCCGGGUUUCCGGCUUUGCCGAUCGCGAAGAUCCGUCCGUCUUUGACGCCGAUAUCGGCUUUGACGAUCCCCCAGUAGUCGAUAAUCAGCGCAUUGGUCAGCACCAGAUCGACGCAUUCAUCGGACAGCAUCUGCCCCUGACCCAUGCCGUCGCG